Molecule: RNA transcript, 2912 nt
Organism: Prosopis cineraria
Lineage: Eukaryota; Viridiplantae; Streptophyta; Magnoliopsida; Fabales; Fabaceae
Gene name: pentatricopeptide repeat-containing protein At5g27270-like
Exons: 4
Source: RefSeq, a predicted model, not a curated record
CAUAGAAGGAGAUGAGACAAUUGUAGAGUAGAUCAGUGAGAGCAGAGGGAACCCAGACGUUCAUGACAAGAGGAAGAUUCCAAGCUUCAGUGAUAAAUCGAUCUCUCACGCAAAGAUUAGAGGAGACCAGGUAUUUUACUUAGACUGGAGAACAAAAAAAGACAGAGAGCGAGAAAGAGACCGAGAGUCAAAGAAGGCUGAAUCUGGGUUUUAAGAGAGGCUUUAAGAGAGAGAUUGAUAGUGAUCUAGAGAUAGAAGAAGAACCAAGAGUUGGGAGAGAUUUUACUUCUAUUUAGGGAGAGAAUGUGAAAAAGAUUUGGAGGAAGAAAGAGCAGAGGUUGGCGGUGGCAGAGACAAAAUCAGAUGCCAUGAGAAGGCUGAAUCUGGUGGAUGAAAUUUGACAGUAAGGAGUUUUGGUCUAGGAAAAGAUCGAUUAGAUCUCUAUUAUCUUCUUUCAUGUUUGGGCUUCGUCUCUAGUGUCCGUUUCUCUAGGCGAGUCAUAAUCAUCAGCGAGGUACAAGAUAGAGCCAGAGAAGGUUAGUUCAACGCUGGCUGGGGAAGAAGUUCGAGCUUGAGCAAGGCGGAUUGGAAGGUGGUUUGAGUUUGAGGCAUGAAAACUAGAGGGAGCGACAAAUUAAAGGGCAUCCGAGUUUGAAGCACAUAGAACGAUGGAAAGAUUUGGCUUCGAAUGAUGUUUAUGGGCAAGAUCAGAAGCUGCAUAGAGCUGUGGAGAUGUUCAAAAAGGCUUGUGCAUUGCUUGUGACUUUGGAUGAAAAAACAUACAUGAAUUUGAUUGGCUAUUACGGGAAGGCUGGUAGUGGGCUAAUAUGAUUUUCAUGAUUUUUUUCUCAAAUCAUAUUAUAAUAUCUAAUAUCUAAUAUUAUUGAUAUAGAAUGUAGGUAGUUUUAGGAAGACAUCUUUUUUUUUUUUUGGUUAUUUGUUCUUCAAACACAGUGAUGAAUAUAAAUCUAUAGAGUAAUGGUUAGUGAUUAGCCAACAAACCAUUGCUUCAGUUAGUGGCGGAGCCAGGAUCUUAUGUUAAGGGGUGCAAAUUAAUUUUAAAAAUAAUAAUUUAGAAAGAAUUAUUUAAUAUUUUUUUAAAAUAAUCAUACAAUUUAUAAUUGUCCCCUACUUAUUGUCAAAUGCUAUUAAAAAUAUUUCCUUUCAUAUAAGUCACUAAUUUAUGAUAUUAUUUAUAUAUAAAAAUAUAUAAUAAUUAAUUAGAGAUUUAAAAAAAUUAAAUAAAUAAGAAUAUUCUUUUAAAAAAAUUAUAUUAGAGUUUUGGACUUAGUGAAUUCAUAAUUGGGCUUAAGUUAAAACAUUUACAAAAAAAAAAAAAGCGAUUCAGUAGGGGUUUGAAAUUUUGUGGCUAAAAAAAAGUAAAUUAACAAAAUAUCUACUUUUCAUUUAUAAUUUCCUCCAAGUUGAGGGGUACAUAUGCCUCCCCUCAAGUGUAUGUGGCUCCACCACUGGCUUCAGUGGCACUAGUCAACUGGCGACAGAUCCCUGCUGUGUUUCUGCAGUGCUAAUGUACAAGGGUCGAAAAUAGGGAAAAAAGAAGGAAAAACAAAAUUACUUUGAUGUGGAAGAAGGCAUAAAACCUGGAAAGAUCAGCUAUAAUAUUAUGCUCAAUGUAUACGCUAAUGCGGGCUUCCUUAUGAAGCAGAGGAACUUUUCCAAGCUAUGCAAAGACAAGGCUGUUCACCUGACAUUCUCACCUAUCUUUCCCUUAUUCGUGCAUACACAGAGUCUGAAAUACUCUGAAGCUGAUAUAACCAUUAAUGCUAUGCAGAGCAGAGGCAUGUUGCCGUCCUGUGCCCAUUUUAACAUUUUACUCUCUGCAUUCAUGAAAGCAGGGCUUAUUGACGAAGCCAACAGGGUGUAUAAGAGACUAUCCUCUUUUGGUCUAACUCCUGAUCGAAUAUGUUUUCGAACAAUGCUGAAAGGUUACCUGGAACAUGGACGUGUGUGCAAGAAGUUAUUAACUUCUUUGAAAGUAUAAGCAACUCGAUAAAAGCGGACAGGUUCAUCAUGAGUGGUGCUGUACAUUUGUACAAAUCUGCUGGGAAAGAAAACAAAGCUGAAGAAAUAUUGCAUUCAAUGGACAACAUGGGGAUCCCAUUCCUGAGGAAACUUGAAGUGGGUCAAGGCCAAAAACUACAUAAGAAAAAGCGCCAUUUAAGUAAUGCAUGUGUAGAAUAUGGCUAAUGGAACAACCAAGUACUUUCUCCAGGCACCGCGUGGUUUAUUGAGAAGAGAGAUAGAGUGGUGUUAGGUGUGGCUCAGUACCUUAUAUCUGUACAGUGAAUUUACACCUUUGGUCCUUUUGUGGAUCCCAAUCUACCCUGCUGCUUUGGUUUCCCCUAUUGUCUUGACAUUUUUAAGCCUGAUAAGGGUUCUACUUCAGAAGGCGGAUAGGGUUAGAGGAUGGUGCCAUUGUAGUAAUGGAUGAGGAUCAGGGAUCUUGGGAUUUUUUCUGGGGAUUAAGGACUUCCUCUACGUCAUCAAGAUUCUCCUUUCCAUUUUGUAGAGCAGAGGAAGAGUUUGAACGACGCAUUGAUGGAAGAGGAAGUGGAGAAAAUGACAGGUUAAUAUAGCUCUAUCUGAUAGGAAGUAUGGGAAGGCAUAUUAUAGGAAGAAAUGAACUUGAUUGCUAUUGCUUUUUAUUCUUUUAAUCAUUUAUGUAAAGUUUGUAAGCUUUCCUUCCUCAGGAGGAAAAGACAAGUAGCUUAUUUCUUUUUUUUUUAUUUUGUCUUGCUUUUACAUUAUACUUAUGCUGUAAAUGGUUGGUUAUGUUUCCUUGAAAAGUAAACCAUGGUCUAUAAAUAAAGCAUAGACUGUACGUGUAAGGAGCAAGUUAUUGAUGAAUGAAAUAGUUUGAAUGGCAUUCUGAAGGGUUCAUUUUUUUCACA